This 253-nucleotide ribosomal RNA is filed under the name uncultured bacterium. Its description in RNAcentral is "partial 16S ribosomal RNA". It matches the Rfam family "Bacterial small subunit ribosomal RNA", at positions 524 to 776 of the family's 1533-position model. The record is from RNAcentral.
UACGAAGGGGGCUAGCGUUGCUCGGAAUCACUGGGCGUAAAGGGCGCGUAGGCGGCGUUUUAAGUCGGGGGUGAAAGCCUGUGGCUCAACCACAGAAUGGCCUUCGAUACUGGGACGCUUGAGUAUGGUAGAGGUUGGUGGAACUGCGAGUGUAGAGGUGAAAUUCGUAGAUAUUCGCAAGAACACCGGUGGCGAAGGCGGCCAACUGGACCAUUACUGACGCUGAGGUGCGAAAGCGUGGGGAGCAAACAGG